GAUGAACGCUGGCGGCGUGCUUAACACAUGCAAGUCGAACGAUGAUCCCCCGCUUGCUGGGGGAAUUAGUGGCGAACGGGUGAGUAACACGUGAGUAACCUGCCCUUGAUUCUGGGACCGGCCUGGCAAACUGGGUCUAAUACUGGAUACGAACUUCUGGCGCAUGCCGUGUGACUGGAAAGCUUUUGUGGUUUUGCUUGGACUCGGCCUCCUAUCCUAUUGUUGUGGGGGUGGGGGCCUACCCCGGCGAGGACUCGAAGCCGGGCUGAUAGGAUAGAAGGACACGCUGGGACUGAACUGCGACCCAGACUCCACUCCUAGGGAACGGUGGGGAAUAUUAUCUUGUGGGCGAAAGCAUGAUGCGACGACGCCGCGUGAGGUAUGACAUGAUUCGGGUUGUAAAGCUCUUCCGACUGAGCCGAGACGAAGGUGACGGUACCUGUAGAAGAAGCACCGGCUAACUACGUGCCAGCAGCCGCGGUAAUACGUAGGGUGCGAGCGUUGUCCGGAAUUAUUGGGCGUAAAGAGCUCGUAGGCGGCUUGUCGAGUCGGCUGUGAAAUCUCUGGGGCUCAACCUCUGAGACGUGCAGUCGAUACUGCUGUGACUUGAGUUCGGGUAGGAGGAGAAUGGAAAUUCCUGGUGUAGCGGUGAAAUGCGCAGAUAUCAGGAGGAACACCGGUGGCGAAGGCUGUGCUCUGGGCCGAUACUGACGCUGAGGAGCGAAAGCGUGGGGAGCGAACAGGAUUAGAUACCCUGGUAGUCCACGCUGUAAACGUUGG
Molecule: ribosomal RNA, 780 nt
Filed under: uncultured Kocuria sp.
Lineage: Bacteria; Bacillati; Actinomycetota; Actinomycetes; Micrococcales; Micrococcaceae
Description: bacterial SSU rRNA
Rfam family: Bacterial small subunit ribosomal RNA
Source: RNAcentral